RNA transcript from Solanum verrucosum, 3752 nucleotides. It is a transcript of the gene named putative disease resistance RPP13-like protein 1, with no coding region annotated. The record is from RefSeq and is a predicted model, not a curated record. The transcript is spliced from 2 exons. Lineage: Eukaryota; Viridiplantae; Streptophyta; Magnoliopsida; Solanales; Solanaceae.
AUGGAGAUUGGCUUAGCAGUUGGUGGUGCCUUUCUCUCUUCAGCUUUGAAUGUUCUCUUUGAUAGACUUGCUCCUCAGGGCGAUAUGCUCAACAUGUUUCAGAUGCAUACGGAUGAUGUUCAGCUCUUUGAGAAGCUGGGGGACAUUUUGCUUGGUCUUCAAAUUGUGCUAAGUGAUGCAGAGAAUAAGAAAGCAUCAAAUCAAUUUGUGAGCCAGUGGUUAAAUAAGCUUCAGAGUGCUGUGGACGGUGCUGAAAACUUGAUAGAAGAAGUAAAUUAUGAAGCUUUGAGGCUUAAAGUGGAAGGUCAGGUUCAAAAUCUUGCAGAAACAAGCAACCAGCAAGUAAGCGACCUUAACCUGUCCUUGAGUGAUGAUUUCUUUCUUAACAUAAAGAAGAAGUUGGAAGACACUAUUAAAAAAUUGGAGGGGUUGGAAAAGCAAAUUGGUCGCCUUGGCUUAAAGGAGCAUUUUAGUUCGACGAAACAAGAAACUAGAACACCUUCAACUUCUUUGGUUGAUGAUACUGGUAUCUUUGGAAGGCAGAAUGAAAUAGAGAAUUUGAUUGGCCGUUUAUUGUCUAAGGAUACAAAGGGAAAAAAUCUGGCUGUAGUUCCUAUUGUUGGAAUGGGCGGUGUGGGUAAGACAACACUUGCUAAAGAGGUUUACAAUGAUGAGAGAGUGCAGAAACAUUUUGGUUUGAAAGCUUGGUUUUGUGUUUCUGAGGCAUAUGAUGCUUUCAGAAUAACAAAAGGGUUACUUCAAGAAAUUGGCUCAACUGACUUGAAGGUUGAUGACAAUCUUAAUCAGCUACAAGUCAAAUUGAAGGAAAGGCUAAAUGGAAAAAGGUUUCUUGUUGUCCUUGAUGACGUGUGGAAUGAUAACCAUCCUGAGUGGGAUGACUUGAGAAAUGUUUUGGUACAAGGAGAUAUAGGAAGUAAGAUCAUUGUGACAACACGUAAAGAGAGUGUUGCCUUGAUGAUGGGUAGUGGGGCAAUCAACGUGGGGACUCUGUCUGAUGAAGUCUCUUGGGAUCUAUUCAAACGACAUUCACUAGAAAACAGGGAUCCUAAAGAACAUCUAGAACUUGAAGAGAUUGGAAAACAAAUUGCACACAGGUGCAAAGGGUUGCCUUUAGCUCUAAAAGCACUUGCUGGUAUUUUAUGCUGUAAAUCAAAGGUGGAUGAGUGGAGAGACAUUUUAAGGAGUGAAAUAUGGGAGCUGCCAAGUUGUUCGAAUGGUAUAUUACCAGCGUUGAUGUUGAGCUACAAUGAUCUUCCUGCACGUUUGAAGCAAUGUUUUGCUUAUUGUGCAAUAUAUCUCAAAGAUUAUCAAUUUUGCAAAGACCAAGUUAUUUACAUGUGGAUUGCUAAUGGUCUGGUACAGCAGUUUCAUUCAGGUAACCAAUACUUUCUCGAGCUGAGAUCAAGAUCGCUGUUCGAAAUGGUCUCGGAGUCUUCUGAACAAGACGUAGAGAAAUUCUUAAUGCAUGACCUUGUCAAUGAUUUGGCCCAAAUUGCAUCUUCAAAUCUUUGUAUAAGGUUGGAAGAGAACAAAGGAUCACAUAUGUUGGAACAAUGUCGGCACAUGUCCUAUUCACUAGGAGGAGAUGGUGACUUUGAGAAAUUGAAAUCACUCUUUAAAUCAGAGCAGCUGAGGACAUUGCUUCCACUCAAUAUCCAGUUCCAUUACCCAUUUAAGCUAAGCAAGAGGGUGUUGCAUAACAUACUGCCAGGACUAAGAUCCUUGAGGGUACUAUCAUUGUCUCAUUACCAUAAUAAGGAGUUGCCAAAUGACUUGUUUAUCAAAUUAAAGCUCCUCAGAUAUUUGGACCUUUCUCAGACAAAGAUUUAAAAGUUGCCAGAUUCCAUAUGUGCAUUGUAUAACUUGGAGACACUUCUCCUGUCAGAUUGUGAUUUUCUUGAGGAGCUACUGCUGCAGAUGGAGAAGUUGAUUAACUUGCGUCAUCUUGACAUAAGCAACACUUGUUGCUUGAAGAUGCCCCUACAUCUGAGCAAGUUGAAAAGCCUCCAAGUGCUAAUGGGAGACAAGUUUCUUCUAGGUGGUUCGAGAAUGGAAGAUUUGGGUGAAGCACAGAAUUUGUAUGGAUCUCUAUCGAUUGUAGAGUUGCAAAAUGUGGUUGAUAGAACAGAAGCUGUGAAGGCAAAGAUGAGGGAGAAGAAUCAUGUUGAGAAGUUAUCUUUGGAGUGGAGUGAAAGUAGUAUUGCCGACAAUUCACAAACAGAAAGAGACAUACUUGAUGAACUAUGCCCACAUAAAAACAUAAAAGAAGUCGAAAUCACCGGAUAUAGAGGGACAAAAUUUCCAAAUUGGCUAGCUAAUGUUUUGUUUCUUAAGAUAAUACAAUUGUCUCUUAGCAACUGCAAGGACUGUUAUUCCUUGCCAUCACUAGGACAACCAACUCCCUUGUUUGAAAAUCCUUUGCAUUAGAGGGAUGCAUGGAAUAACAGAGGCGACGCAAGACUUCUAUGGCAGUUCAUCCUCCAAAAAGCCUUUUAACUCUCUUGAGGGGCUUCUAUUUGCAGAUAUGCCGGAGUGGAAGCAAUGGUACGUACUAAGAAAUGGGGAGUUCCCUAUACUUAAGGUCCUUUUAAUUGAUAAUUGCCCUAAACUCAGUUUGAAGACACGCAUCCAACUUUCAAGUUUAAAAGGUUUUGAAGUAAUUGGUUCUCCUAAGGUUGGAGUUGUUUAUGAGGGGAUGAAGGAAGGAGAUUGAGGAAUUAGAUAUUAGUGAUUGUAACUCUCUUACCUCCUUUCCUUUUAGCAUACUGCCCACUACCUUGAAGACAAUAAGAAUAUCUGAUUGCCGGAAAUUGAAAUUGGAGCAGCCAGUGGGUGAGAUGAGUAUGUUUCUCGAGAAAUUGACACUGCGAAAAUGUGAUUGUAUAGAUGAUAUAUCACCUGAGUUUCUCCCAAGAGUACGCAAAUUGUGGGUACAGGAUUGCCACAACCUUAGUAGGUUUUUGAUUCCUACUGCCACUGAAACUCUCUUUAUUGGGAGUUGUAAGAAAGUUGAAAAACUUUCGGCGGCAUGUGGGGGCACCCAGAUGACGUCACUGGAUAUUGAGCACUGUUGUAAGCUGAAGAGGCUGCCAGAACGUAUGCAGGAACUCCUUCCAUCUCUUAAGGAACUAGAUCUGUCUGAUUGUCCAGAAAUAGAGUCCUUUCCUCAAGGAGGAUUGCCCUUCAAUUUACAAUUCCUUUCGAUCUUCCAUUGCAUGAAACUGGUGAAUGGCCGAAAGGAGUGGCGUUUACAGAGAUUCCCCUGUCUCACAAAGUUAGUGAUCUAUCAUGAUGGCAGUGACGAAGAGAUUCUUGCUGGUGAGAAUUGGGAGUUGCCUUCCUCUCUUCAAACACUUAUCAUAUACGAUCUGAAAACAUUAAGCAACCAAGUUCUCAAAAGCCUCACCUCUCUUUCUAUCAUUAAUUGCCCUAAUCUCCAAUCACUUUCCAAAUCAGCACUGCCUUCCUCCCUCUCUCAACUGGAGAUCUCCCGUUGCCAUAAUCUCCAAUUACUUUCCGAAUCAACACUGCCCUCCUCCCUCUCUGAGCUGACCAUCAUCGAUUGCCCUAAGCUCCAAUCCCUUCCAGUUAAAGGGAUGCCCUCUUCCUUCUCUAAACUAUCUAUUCACGACUGCCCAUUGCUCAGACCACUACUAGAAUUUGACAAGGGGGAAUACUGGCCAAAUAUUGCUCAAUUUCCCAUCAUAGACAUCGAUAAGGAAUGCCUGUGA